RNAcentral lists this ribosomal RNA (253 nucleotides) under uncultured bacterium. RNAcentral describes it as "partial 16S ribosomal RNA". It matches the Rfam family "Bacterial small subunit ribosomal RNA", at positions 524 to 776 of the family's 1533-position model. The record is from RNAcentral.
UACGAAGGGGGCUAGCGUUGUUCGGAAUUACUGGGCGUAAAGCGUGCGCAGACGGUUGCGUAAGUCAGAUGUGAAAGCCCCGGGCUCAACCUGGGAAUUGCAUUCGAGACUGCUCUGCUAGGGUGCGGAAGAGGGAAGCGGAAUUUCCGGUGUAGCGGUGAAAUGCGUAGAUAUCGGAAGGAACACCAGUGGCGAAAGCGGCUUCCUGGUCCAGCACCGACGUUCAGGCACGAAAGCGUGGGGAGCAAACAGG